Molecule: non-coding RNA, 447 nt
Filed under: bovine gut metagenome
Source: RNAcentral
GUCCAGCAGGUCGGCCUCACCGAAAUACUCUCCAUCGCCUAACAGAGCAAUCCGCAAGUCUUCACCGUGAGGGCCUUUGCUGAUGACCUCAGCCUGUCCGCUGGCCACGAUAAAGAAACGUUGCUUGUCCUUUCCUUCCUCUACAAAGAGUUUGUCGACGUCUACCUCCUGAGCCUCGAAAGCACUCACAAGGCGAUCAAGUAUGCCGUUUUCGAACUCUGAGAACAAUGGUAUCGCCUUCAGGUCUUUAGCCGUAAACGACGGCACGCCAUUCACGUAUUGGAUAGGCAGGCGGUCGUUCUUCCGAAGUUCCACCUUCGUGCGGUUCACGCGGAAUGUGCCACCACUGACCUGCACCCAAGGAAGGAGUUUCAGGAGUAGUCUCGGAGUGAUACUGCCCAUCUGUGGAGCAGUCUUGGUAGUUGUCGCCAGCCGUCUGGCGGUAGC